AAAGAAUACGGAUUCUCCGCUUCUCUCUCUCUCUCUCUCUCUCUCCGCCUUCUCCCCCGUAAUACGUAGCAACGAUAAAAAACCGGCUCGUCGAUCUUCUCAUAUAUUUUUACCAUCGGGUCUCUGUUUAACUUCUUCGAGAUGGAGGAGGCUGCAAUAUCCAGUGACUACACGUGCGACUACCUACGCCUGCAUCGAGAAUACGUAAUGAGGAAACCGUUCGAUGACUUUAAGAUGGCCUAUCGUGAUACACGAUUCUUGUAUCGUUAAGUAUUCUAAGCUUGAGUUACCAACGAACAAAGGAUACGUCGUAUUGCUAAAAGUACGAUUCGCAGAUCUCUCCUCUAGCUCCUCCAACGCGUGUGUAUUAGAUUUUAACUUGAUUCUGUUAAAGGAAAGCGAAACUUAUCAAGGGAAACGAUCGAGAGGAGAGAAAAAUCGACGAUCGCUUUUACUUAUAUCGAUCAAAGUCGAAUUAUCUCAAUAAGUAAAACAAGUAUAUUCGGUAAUCGUCGACAAGCUUCUUCGAAUAAACUAUCGAAAAGAUAAAAAACAAAACUUGUAUCGAUAAAAUAUGAAACGUAAACUUUCGAAAGCUUUCUAUGGCAUCUGUAUUUUUUCUCAAGCGUUUUAAAAAUAGAGUAUUCACCCUGCUGUUACGUU
Long non-coding RNA from Vespula vulgaris, 663 nucleotides. RefSeq lists it as uncharacterized. The record is from RefSeq and is a predicted model, not a curated record. Lineage: Eukaryota; Metazoa; Arthropoda; Insecta; Hymenoptera; Vespidae. The transcript is spliced from 2 exons.